Molecule: ribosomal RNA, 908 nt
Filed under: Rhinocladiella atrovirens
Lineage: Eukaryota; Fungi; Ascomycota; Eurotiomycetes; Chaetothyriales; Herpotrichiellaceae
Description: LSU rRNA
Rfam family: Eukaryotic large subunit ribosomal RNA
Source: RNAcentral
AGCAUAUCAAUAAGCGGAGGAAAAGAAACCAACAGGGAUUGCCUCAGUAACGGCGAGUGAAGCGGCAACAGCUCAAAUUUGAAAUCUGGCCUCUUUAGGGGUCCGAGUUGUAAUUUGUAGAGGAUGUUUCGGGUACCGCUCCGGUUUAAAUUUCUUGGAACAGAAUGUCAAAGAGGGUGAGAAUCCCGUCUUGGACCGGCGGUAGGGCCCAUGUGAAACUCCUUCGACGAGUCGAGUUGUUUGGGAAUGCAGCUCAAAAUGGGUGGUAAAUUUCAUCUAAAGCUAAAUAUUGGCCAGAGACCGAUAGCGCACAAGUAGAGUGAUCGAAAGAUGAAAAGCACUUUGAAAAGAGAGUUAAACAGUAUGUGAAAUUGUUGAAAGGGAAGCGCUUGCAACCAGACUUGAGCGCGGCGGUUCCCCCUUCCUUCUGGUUGGGCUACUCCGUCGCGUCCAGGCCAACAUCGGUUCUGGGGGUCGGUCAAAGGCUCGGGGAAUGUAUCUACCCUUCGGGCGUAGACUUAUAGCCCCGAGUGUCAUGCGACCUCCCGGGACCGAGGAACGCGCUUCGGCUCGGAUGUUGGCGUAAUGGUUGUCAGCGACCCGUCUUGAAACACGGACCAAGGAGUCUAACAUCUAUGCGAGUGUUUGGGUGUCAAACCCGGAACGCGGAAUGAAAGUGAACGGAGGUAGGAAGCUUCGGCUGCACUAUCGACCGAUCCUGAUGUCUUCGGAUGGAUUUGAGUAAGAGCAUAGCUGUUGGGACCCGAAAGAUGGUGAACUAUGCCUGAAUAGGGUGAAGCCAGAGGAAACUCUGGUGGAGGCUCGCAGCGGUUCUGACGUGCAAAUCGAUCGUCAAAUUUGGGUAUAGGGGCGAAAGACUAAUCGAACCAUCUGGUAGCUGGUUCUGC